GACGAACGCUGGCGGCGUGCUUAACACAUGCAAGUCGAGCGAGGCCCCUCCUUCGGGAGGGUGUCCUAGCGGCGAACGGGUGAGUAACACGUGGGCAACCUGCCCUCAGCUCUGGGAUAACUCCGGGAAACCGGGGCUAAUACCGGAUACGACCUCCACGGGCAUCUGCGGAGGUGGAAAGUUUUUCGGCUGAGGAUGGGCCCGCGGCCUAUCAGCUAGUUGGUGGGGUAGUGGCCCACCAAGGCGGCGACGGGUAGCCCGCCUGAGAGGGCGACCGGGCACCCUGCUCCUGCGACAGGCAGCAGUCUCCUACGGGCGGCAGUGGUCGGGAGUAUUGCGCAGUGGGGCCGCGCCUGUGGCGGCGGCGCCGCGUUAGGGAAGCACGCCUUCGGGGUGAGAACCUCUUUCAGCGGGGACGAGGCGAAAGUGACGGUACCUGCAGAAGAAGCACCGGCCAACUACGUG
Molecule: ribosomal RNA, 465 nt
Filed under: uncultured bacterium
Lineage: Bacteria
Description: partial 16S ribosomal RNA
Rfam family: Bacterial small subunit ribosomal RNA
Source: RNAcentral